GAUGAACGCUAGCUACAGGCUUAACACAUGCAAGUCGAGGGGCAGCAUUUUGCUUGCAAACGAUGGCGACCGGCGCACGGGUGAGUAACACGUAUCCAACCUGCCGAUAACUCGGGGAUAGCCUUUCGAAAGAAAGAUUAAUACCCGAUGGUAUAAUCAGACCGCAUGGUCUUGUUAUUAAAGAAUUUCGGUUAUCGAUGGGGAUGCGUUCCAUUAGGCAGUUGGUGAGGUAACGGCUCACCAAACCUUCGAUGGAUAGGGGUUCUGAGAGGAAGGUCCCCCACAUUGGAACUGAGACACGGUCCAAACUCCUACGGGAGGCAGCAGUGAGGAAUAUUGGUCAAUGGGCGCAGGCCUGAACCAGCCAAGUAGCGUGAAGGAUGACUGCCCUAUGGGUUGUAAACUUCUUUUAUAUGGGAAUAAAGUUUUCCACGUGUGGAAUUUUGUAUGUACCAUAUGAAUAAGGAUCGGCUAACUCCGUGCCAGCAGCCGCGGUAAUACGGAGGAUCCGAGCGUUAUCCGGAUUUAUUGGGUUUAAAGGGAGCGUAGGUGGACAGUUAAGUCAGUUGUGAAAGUUUGCGGCUCAACCGUAAAAUUGCAGUUGAUACUGGCUGUCUUGAGUACAGUAGAGGUGGGCGGAAUUCGUGGUGUAGCGGUGAAAUGCUUAGAUAUCACGAAGAACUCCGAUUGCGAAGGCAGCUCACUGGACUGCAACUGACACUGAUGCUCGAAAGUGUGGGUAUCAAACAGGAUUAGAUACCCUGGUAGUCCACACAGUAAACGAUGAAUACUCGCUGUUUGCGAUAUACAGUAAGCGGCCAAGCGAAAGCAUUAAGUAUUCCACCUGGGGAGUACGCCGGCAACGGUGAAACUCAAAGGAAUUGACGGGGGCCCGCACAAGCGGAGGAACAUGUGGUUUAAUUCGAUGAUACGCGAGGAACCUUACCCGGGCUUAAAUUGCAUUUGAAUAUAUUGGAAACAGUAUAGCCGUAAGGCAAAUGUGAAGGUGCUGCAUGGUUGUCGUCAGCUCGUGCCGUGAGGUGUCGGCUUAAGUGCCAUAACGAGCGCAACCCUUAUCUUUAGUUACUAACAGGUCAUGCUGAGGACUCUAGAGAGACUGCCGUCGUAAGAUGUGAGGAAGGUGGGGAUGACGUCAAAUCAGCACGGCCCUUACGUCCGGGGCUACACACGUGUUACAAUGGGGGGUACAGAAGGCAGCUACCUGGUGACAGGAUGCUAAUCCCAAAAGCCUCUCUCAGUUCGGAUCGAAGUCUGCAACCCGACUUCGUGAAGCCGGAUUCGCUAGUAAUCGCGCAUCAGCCAUGGCGCGGUGAAUACGUUCCCGGGCCU
RNAcentral lists this ribosomal RNA (1350 nucleotides) under uncultured bacterium. RNAcentral describes it as "bacterial SSU rRNA". It matches the Rfam family "Bacterial small subunit ribosomal RNA", at positions 28 to 1381 of the family's 1533-position model. The record is from RNAcentral.